AGUUUGAGUGUUUAAGACUUGAGUUGAUCUCAAUUGUCUUCUCUGUUGAAAUAGUUGUUCUAUUUCUGAAUAGCAGAGCCCUAUCCAAAUUAUCCACAUAAUCAUCCAAUCAUUCAACAUAAUUUAUCAUCAAUAUAAUCCACCGCAUCAUUCAGGAUCAUCUAAUUUUUGCACUCGCCGGUGUCUAUUUAGCAUCAUCACGCAUAGGCAACAGUAAAGAUCAAAAGUCAAGAAUCAGAGUGAAUUACGCUAGUAAAACUUUCAUCAUCUAUUCGUUAACAGACAGUGAAAUCACUCCGGAAGCAAUGAAAUCAAUUGAAACCUUCGAACAACCUUUCGAAAAGUUUUCUCAAUAAUUAGCUGAAUUACAUGCUGAUAUCAAAAAACAACUUUGUAAACAUAUUAUGCAUGCACCAAGACACCAUUGCAGUCACUGUUCAGAAAACACAGAAGAAACACCAUUCAUGGAAAAUUAACGGGAGGAAUAACGUAAGCAAUGACGUAAAAAGCCAUGAUUGAACACAUUAUUGAAGACACCUAAUGACGUAAGCAAUGACGUAAAAAGCCAUUAUUGAAGACACCUGUCUUUUCAAUGUGGAAGGGAUUAUUAUAUUUUUAAUUAUGUAAAGUGUCCGUAGGAUAAUUAUUAAGUAUCGGUUGUAUUAUUUGUGAUGUAACAUAAAGUGUGUGACCCUCAAUAGUCUAGGGGUCUAAAAUGUAAAUAUAUGUUUGUCGUAUUGCAAUCAAAUGAUUGCAACAAUAAUUGUAACCGGCUCUCUUGAGUCUAUAAAUAGGGCAUUUGCCCAUAUGAAAUAAACAAGUUAAGUUUGAGUGUUUAA
This is a long non-coding RNA of Lactuca sativa (garden lettuce), 839 nucleotides long. RefSeq lists it as uncharacterized. The record is from RefSeq and is a predicted model, not a curated record. NCBI's taxonomy places the organism in Eukaryota, Viridiplantae, Streptophyta, Magnoliopsida, Asterales, Asteraceae.